RNAcentral lists this transfer RNA (75 nucleotides) under Candidatus Zambryskibacteria bacterium RIFCSPHIGHO2_02_38_10.5. RNAcentral describes it as "tRNA-Arg". It matches the Rfam family "tRNA". From Rfam's summary of the family: Transfer RNA (tRNA) molecules are approximately 80 nucleotides in length. Their secondary structure includes four short double-helical elements and three loops (D, anti-codon, and T loops). Lineage: Bacteria; Candidatus Zambryskiibacteriota. The record is from RNAcentral.
GCUCUCGUAGUUCAAUGGAUAGAACCGUGGACUUCUAAGCCACUAAUGUAAGUUCGAUUCUUACCGAGAGCACCA